AACGAACGCUGGCGGCAUGCCUAACACAUGCAAGUCGAACGAGACCUUCGGGUCUAGUGGCGCACGGGUGCGUAACGCGUGGGAACCUGCCCUUAGGUUCGGAAUAACUCCCCGAAAGGGGUGCUAAUACCGGAUAAUGUCUUCGGACCAAAGAUUUAUCGCCUUUGGAUGGGCCCGCGUUGGAUUAGCUAGUUGGUAGGGUAAAAGCAUACCAAGGCGACGAUCCAUAGCUGGUCUGAGAGGAUGAUCAGCCACACUGGGACUGAGACACGGCCCAGACUCCUACGGGAGGCAGCAGUGGGGAAUAUUGGACAAUGGGCGAAAGCCUGAUCCAGCAAUGCCGCGUGAGUGAUGAAGGCCUUAGGGUUGUAAAGCGCUUUUACCCGGGAUGAUAAUGACAGUACCGGGAGAAUAAGCUCCGGCUAACUCCGUG
RNAcentral lists this ribosomal RNA (433 nucleotides) under uncultured bacterium. RNAcentral describes it as "partial 16S ribosomal RNA". It matches the Rfam family "Bacterial small subunit ribosomal RNA", at positions 29 to 507 of the family's 1533-position model. The record is from RNAcentral.